UAUCCCACCGAUAGAUGCCUGCGGUCGUCCCCUCCAAGACUUCGCUGUUGGCAUGUCCAUCUACGAAGCCUCGACCGCCGGGCCCCCGUUUUCCUUCCCGGCGCUGGCCACUCCAUCGCCUUUCCGACAGACGCAUCUCCUCCGCCUCCACUUUGCCUAUGUGGGAUCACACUACCACUGACCAUAUGGCCGGUUCCUCAGGUCGGGCACCAGAUGCUCCGAACCUGCCAUAUCAUGCUCGGCUAUGGCGGGAACGAGACGAUCGCCUGGGCCACCUCCCAUGGUCCUCGGCAGCUCAAAAUAAGAGGAAGGACAGACGGCGUAGGAAAGACGCUCGAUCGAGAGACGGCCGCCUCUGGCAUCACAAGACCUCUAUGUCGCCAUGGCAGUUAGACGCGUGAUGCGUCCGACAACGCGCCCUCACUCCCAGACAACUCGCAGCCAUUCUCCGACGACGACGCUUGCGGCUUGCCCAGCCGCCCUAUGCAGCCCUCCCGCCGUCAGCGUGCGAGGUCGCUACGGCCCGGCUACCUUGCGCCCUCUCGCUGUCUCUUUGGUCGCAGCCCGGUGCCGCCUUCCAGCGCAGAUGGGAGGCCGCCGCCUUGAGCUCGCGCCAGCCCUGCUGCAAGUCAACCGUGGAUGAGGUCGACCCGCACAGACGGGAGACGGCGCAGAGUGUUGGCCGCGCUCGCCGCCGUGGUAAUGGGCAUGGCCAGGCCAAUACGAUGAUGGACGAGAUGGUCUACAUCAUGAACAACAAGAAAGUGCACGACGGCACCCUCGCGGCCUCGCCAAAACCCCUGUGCCCCAGGCCGUAUCUCUGGCUACUCCUCCAGCGGCUCCGCCGUCGCCGUCGCCUGAAGCCUAGCUGACUUCGCCCUGGGCACAGAAAGCGGCGGCAGCGUCAGGGUGCCCGCUGCCUAUUGCGGCAUCUGCAGGCUCCGGCCCUCCCACGGACUGAUGUGCACUGAAUAUGUCGUCCUGAUGGCACAUAUGUUCGACACUGUCGGUUUCAGUUAUGCUUAUGCGAUAUUUGCCCCGCGAUGGAGCCAGUCGAACAUAUGUUGCUUUCACUGCAUGGCCGGGUCGAGCUGUGGAAUGCCCUGGGGCUACUCACUAAAGCACUAUACUCCUCCUACUCAUUGUCUUUCUUUCCUUCGAGGUUUAGGACAGUUCGUAAUACGCGUCUUCGAUAAUAUGCACAUCUCCAAAACGGUAUCCUGCAUGAGCAUUGCAGAAGUGUGGACCAAAGACCUUGUCAUGAAGGGCUUGACAUAUUCCUCAAAAAGAAAGUGUGAGUUGGGUGCUUCAGAUUAUCUCAUGUUUUCAAGGCCUCAAAACAAUGAUCCAUGCAGCCCAUCAUUUUUUAUCUGACACAAGUGUCUGACUUUGCAAUAGUGUCCUUUUCCCAAAAAAAAAAAGCAAGUGUCCUAGAAAUUAGAUAGAUUUUAUUUUUCAUGUCUGCAACUUACUUUGAUAAGGUUCAUCGAUCUGCUAAUACAAACGUCCAUGGCUGGGACAAAUUAGGUGGUUGUGUGUCAAGUCUCGGUGUGUUAUGGGAUGCAGUUCCACUCUGUGUGGUGAGCCAACUUUCGACUGAUUGUAAAUAUAUAUAUAUAGUUUCUUAAUAUAUAAAACGUUUUUUCAUUUAUUGUAAAAAUAUAUAUUUCAAAUAUAAGUCCCCUUUUCAUCAAAAAAGGAAAAAGAAAUUGUGAGCUUGCUGUUGUUAUCCCCUGUUUUUUGUGAAUAAUGUUGUGUAUACAGUUUUACUUUGGAAAAGUUGUGGUUGUGUGGCCAUGUGGAUACUCCUGUUACUUUUUCUGUUCCAUGCGAUAUGACUACUUGAGAUGUUUUAAUGAGUCAGGGAACAUAUAAAACACAUCCAGCGUGAAAUAUGAAACUAUACAUAAACCACCAACGACGCGCGACGAGAACUGGCGGUCUCGCGAAGUAAGGGCAUAUCCAUGCACUUAAUUUCAUCUUUAAUUCCACAUCCUUAUAAUUUUCUGAAGUGCAGAAUCCCAUCUAGGGACUUCCAGUAUUUUCUCUUUCAUCGGUGACUUCCACUUGAAUCCGUUCCCAAUGGAAGAACAGUGCACUAUAUCACAAAGGAAUGCCUUAUCUACCAUUGUUGCUCUGCUUAUUCAUCUACAAUGAGAUGCUCUUCAUGAAAGACAUAAAGUGGGCUGCAACCUUUCCAGUUUCUUCCGGUUCUGCACUACUUACAAGAUCAAUGUUUUCUUCUUAUUUUGUCUUACAUGAAUGAAAUGAUCAGUCUCUAUGGUGAACAUGAUCAUUGUAAUUUUUUGUUUGUUAUUCAUGCUGGGCUAAGGAGGGAAAUGUCUAAUUUUAUAGCA
This is a long non-coding RNA of Triticum aestivum (bread wheat), 2357 nucleotides long. RefSeq lists it as uncharacterized. The transcript has 3 exons. The record is from RefSeq and is a predicted model, not a curated record. Lineage: Eukaryota; Viridiplantae; Streptophyta; Magnoliopsida; Poales; Poaceae.